AAUCUUCCACAAUGGGCGAAAGCCUGAUUGAGCAACGCCGCGUGAGUGAAGAAGGUUUUCGGAUCGUAAAACUCUGUUUUAAGGGAAGAACAAGUACAGUAGUAACUGCCUGUACCUUUACGGUACCUUAUUAGAAAGCCACGGCUAACUACGUGCCAGCAGCCGCUGUAAUACGUAGGUUGCAAGCGUUGUCCGGAAUUAUUGGGCGUAAAGCGCGCGGAGGCGGUCCUUUAAGGCUGAUGUGAAAGCCCAGGGCACAACCGGGGAGGGUCAUUGGAAACUGGGGGACGUGAGUGCAGAAGAGGAAAGUGGAAUUCCAAGUGUAGCGGUGAAAUGCGGAGAGAUUUGGAGGAACACCAGUGGCGAAGGCGACUUUCUGGUCUGUAACUGACGCUGAGGCGCGAAAGCGUGGGGAGCAAACA
Molecule: ribosomal RNA, 422 nt
Filed under: uncultured bacterium
Lineage: Bacteria
Description: partial 16S ribosomal RNA
Rfam family: Bacterial small subunit ribosomal RNA
Source: RNAcentral